CCUACGGGUGGCUGCAGUGGGGAAUAUUGCACAAUGGGGGAAACCCUGAUGCAGCGACGCCGCGUGAGUGAAGAAGUAAUUCGUUACGUAAAGCUCUAUCAGCCGGGAAGAAAAUGACGGUACUUGAGUAAGAAGCACCGGCGAACUACGUGCCAGCAGCCGCGGUAAUACGUAGGGGGCAAGCGUUAUCCGGAUUUACUGGGGGAAAAGGGAGCGUAGCCGGUGGGCCAAGUCAGGAGUGAAAUGCCGCAGCUUAACCGCGGAACUGCUUUGGAAACUGGCCAACUAGAGUGCGGGAGGGGUGAGCAGAAUUCCAAGUGUAGCGGUGAAAUGCGUAGAUAGUAGGAGGAACACCGGUGGCGAAGGCGGCUUACUGGACCAUGACUGACGUUGAGGCUCGAAAGCGUGGGGAGCAAACAGGAUUAGAUACCCUGGUAGUC
RNAcentral lists this ribosomal RNA (440 nucleotides) under uncultured bacterium. Its description in RNAcentral is "partial 16S ribosomal RNA". It matches the Rfam family "Bacterial small subunit ribosomal RNA", at positions 338 to 795 of the family's 1533-position model. The record is from RNAcentral.